RNAcentral lists this ribosomal RNA (226 nucleotides) under uncultured bacterium. Its description in RNAcentral is "partial 16S ribosomal RNA". It matches the Rfam family "Bacterial small subunit ribosomal RNA", at positions 107 to 334 of the family's 1533-position model. The record is from RNAcentral.
UGAGUAACACGUAUCCAACCUGCCGUCUACUCUUGGACAGCCUUCUGAAAGGAAGAUUAAUACAAGAUGGCAUCAUGAGUCCACAUGUUCACAUGAUUAAAGGUAUUCCGGUAGACGAUGGGGAUGCGUUCCAUUAGAUAGUAGGCGGGUAACGGCCCACCUAGUCUUCGAUGGAUAGGGGUUCUGAGAGGAAGGUCCCCCACAUUGGAACUGAGACACGGUCCAA